RNAcentral lists this ribosomal RNA (413 nucleotides) under uncultured bacterium. RNAcentral's name for it is "bacterial SSU rRNA". It matches the Rfam family "Bacterial small subunit ribosomal RNA", at positions 917 to 1333 of the family's 1533-position model. The record is from RNAcentral.
GGGCCCGCACAAGCGGUGGAGCAUGUGGUUUAAUUCGAUGAUACGCGAGGAACCUUACCAGGGCUUAAAUGUAAGUUGCAUAGAGUAGAGAUAUUCUUUUCUUCGGACUACUUACAAGGUGCUGCAUGGUUGUCGUCAGCUCGUGCCGUGAGGUGUCAGGUUAAGUCCUAUAACGAGCGCAACCCCUGUUGUUAGUUGCCAGCGAGUCAAGUCGGGAACUCUAACAAGACUGCCAGUGCAAACUGUGAGGAAGGUGGGGAUGACGUCAAAUCAUCACGGCCCUUACGUCCUGGGCUACACACGUGCUACAAUGGUAGGUACAGAGAGCAGCCACUGCGCGAGCAGGAGCGAAUCUAUAAAACCUAUCACAGUUCGGAUCGGAGUCUGCAACUCGACUCCGUGAAGCUGGAAUC